UACAUACUGUGCGAACGUUAUUCGGAUUCACUGGGCUUAAAGGGUGCGUAGGCGGCUCGUUAAGUAGGGUGUGAAAGCCCCUGGCUCAACCAGGGAAUUGCAUUCUAUACUGGCGGGCUAGAGUGUGAUAGGGGUGUGUGGAACUGCCAGUGGAGCGGUGAAAUGUGUUGAUAUUGGCAGGAACGCCGGUGGCGAAAGCGACACACUGGGUCUCAACUGACGCUGAGGCACGAAAGCCAGGGGAGCGAACGGG
RNAcentral lists this ribosomal RNA (253 nucleotides) under uncultured bacterium. Its description in RNAcentral is "partial 16S ribosomal RNA". It matches the Rfam family "Bacterial small subunit ribosomal RNA", at positions 524 to 776 of the family's 1533-position model. The record is from RNAcentral.